Non-coding RNA from Physcomitrium patens, 2011 nucleotides. The record is from RefSeq and is a predicted model, not a curated record. Lineage: Eukaryota; Viridiplantae; Streptophyta; Bryopsida; Funariales; Funariaceae.
UUUUCAUUACUUAUAAUUGCACUCCUAUUUUAGGGCAUUGUUCAACAUUAGAGACUCUUUGUUAGCGUUUCUUAGAAGUUAUAAGUUUGGUUCGAUGGAUGAUACAGUGAUCUGAAAGCUCCGGAUGCGGGAUCAUUAUGUGGGACAGGGUUUCCGAAAGUAGAUGUGGUUGAUUCUCGUGUGGUUAAUAAUAAAGGGCAGUUUGACGAGUGAAAUCUGAUUAUACAUGCCACAAUAAUUUCUUAGCUCAAUUUGAUAUGUAGUAGGUCCUCGAGGACGUUGGAUCUAAAUUAGAUCUCAGCUUAUCAGUUCGUUGACAUUCGUCGAAGCCCGGUUGUUUGCAUUCCCCUAAAAUUUCGGAAAGUUUACAGGAUGAGAAAGUCAGCAUUUGUUCAAGUUUGAUUGUUCAUAUUUAUUUGAUUCAGUGUUAGUAUCAGUUAGAUCCUGUCGGAUGCCAGUAUCGAUGUGACUGCUAUAUAUUGAUACUUUCGAGCUCUCAACUUAACGGCCUGUUUUUUGUAGCUCUAAUUUCGUCUCUAUGUCAUGGUGCGUGCAUUCUCCAGCACAGUUUGCACCUUUCACGUUUGCACAGGUCCCUUACAGGUAUUUUGUGUUGAGACUGACAAAUGUAAGGCGGGAAGUUUCGAGCGCCUUUGCCUUUGCUAUGUCGCCAAAUGUUGUUAGCAUGUUGGUGUAUCCGAUCUAAAGCAUGGUGGAUGGGGUUUAAUCACAGGAAUGUAUGGAUUCUCACUGGCUUGAAGUUUUCGAUUUUCGGCACAGCGAGUAUUUGAUGCAUUUGAAUGAUUCUCAGUCGAAGCUACUGCAGGCUCAGGACGAAUUGGUUUGCACGAUGAAAGAAGCAGCUGAGAAGUAGCUGCAGAAGAUUGAGUCUAUCGAUAACGAGGGCCAUCGUAGCUUUUGGAGGCACUCUUUAUCCAGGAGGAGGUGAUGCGUGGUUGUAGAAGAUUUGUUGAGGCUGAAGGAGCUGCACCGCCGUGAGCGAGAUCUCCAGACACUGUCAGAGAUUUAAUUAGCGAAGCAGAAGUAAUCAGAGAAACUAAAUGUUAGUGUGCCGAAGGUGUUCUUAGUCGACAAAUAUUUCCUUCCUGGGCCACCAGGAUCAUGUAAUUACGGCUCUACAUGGUAUUUACACCCUUACUUUCACCCGAUCUCUAUCGGACUGGUAUGAUGUCCAGCAUGAGAGUACAGCAUUCUUUAAUUACUCAAACGCCUGAAAUUUCUGGAAGAAAUUUAAAAGAGCAACUGUAGCCACUCCCUGUGGAUAUCAUUGCGUUGAGCUGCUGUAACUUUCUGCUCCGCUAAGAACACACAAAUCUGAAACACUCAGUCUCUUCUUGUUCCACAGUCGGGUAUUAUUAGCACCAAAUAAGCCGUAUCUGUUUCAUGAAUUUUAUAUGUUUAUUCCCGAACGGCUCAAGAUGUCCUCAUUCAUAAUUCCACCCUCGGUGCAUUGCCAAAGUUCUGCACGGAUCAGUAAACUUACAUGAUAUUUUCAUUCCAACUUCACUCGUACUCUUGGGUCAUUUGGAGUGUGCGAAUGGAUUACUUAAUUGCGUCAUGAAUUCCAUAUGCAGGAACUGCGAACUCCUAAAGUUCCUCUAGGGUUCACGUUUUUCUCAUAUUCUUCUAGGGUUCACGUUUUUGAGGGUGUUGUUUACAAUGAUCUCUAAAGCUUUGCAAAUCUGUUGAGCUUUUUCGACUACGCAUAGCACGUGUGACUACAUCCUCAGACUUAGAGGCUGGAGUGUAUGCCAUUAGGCUUCUGCAAUCUCUGUAUGAUGGAAGCAAAUACAUAGAGGUCGUCCAGGAUUAAUCUAAAGCAGUAGUCAUGAUCUAAACCUUACCUCUUUCUGGUACAAGUAAUCGAGAAAAUAAACGAUGACAAGACGAGAUUCUUCUGGGCGCUGGACCCUCUUCCACGCAACAAUUUGAUUGUAUUUGUCAAGAAUUUGAAGUGGAACAUUGUCUCUUGAAGUUGCAGUGUUUUGAA